AUAAAAAAUUAAAACUGUUUUUUAACGAUUUGUUUACAAACAUUUACAACAUACAUACAAAUAAGUACAUUUCCAUUCUACGUGGUUGGAUGCUUUUGUAUCUUUUUAUUCCUAUACGCACGCACUCCAGCGUUUAAUGAUCCCCAUCAACACUAAAAUCAUAAUUAUUCAAAAUAAACAAAAAACAUCGAAUGCAAUGAAGAACUGUUGCUCGUUGCUCUUCUUGUUGCUGCUGUUGUGGACUUCUGUGUUUUUUGUUAUUGUUGGUGGUGGCUGUGGUGGUGAUGUCGGUGGUAGGCAGCAAUGAAUGCAUCAUAUGUGAUCCGUUGUCUCAACCUCCGGCACCGCUUAACCUGUAGAUAUUCUGACAUGUCAAAUGAUUUUUGUACAAAAAAUAUCUUAUUUUUUAUCCUGCAACACUUGAGCUGUGUUGAAUCGGAAUCUGGCAUCAAAAUUUUUCCAUCACACCUGGAAACGCCAAGGCAACUUUAUAUAUAAAAUGUUGUAUGCCAUCUAAAAGUACAUUCUGUCAACAUUAAAAUAAAAGCUUAAAAUCUGAUA
Molecule: long non-coding RNA, 561 nt
Organism: Lucilia cuprina (Australian sheep blowfly)
Lineage: Eukaryota; Metazoa; Arthropoda; Insecta; Diptera; Calliphoridae
Exons: 2
Source: RefSeq, a predicted model, not a curated record